Felis catus (domestic cat) is the source of this 1072-nucleotide long non-coding RNA. RefSeq lists it as uncharacterized. The transcript is spliced from 3 exons. The record is from RefSeq and is a predicted model, not a curated record. Lineage: Eukaryota; Metazoa; Chordata; Mammalia; Carnivora; Felidae.
UGGGCUUUAACUGGCCAGCUGGGGUUUGUACCAAAUCGCACCUAACCCCACUCCCAAAUUCAAGGGUAUCAGGGGUGAGAAGAAUACAGAAAUUUCUUACAAAAGGUCCAAGUCGAAAGGCAAAAGCCCUUGAAAAAGAAUGACCUUCUUAAAUUCUGAUAGACAGCCACUCUUCUUCCAUCUCUAUUUCGAAAGAGGAACAUACAUACAAGAAACAGGUGACACUGCUGGCCACAAGAGCUGGGAUGUGGUCACAGAAACAGGAAAAAUUACAGAGGAAAACAGGAGUCACUCUGGAAUCUCAUCUAGGCGAGCUCUAUUUUGAAAGAAUUAAAAGCAGCCGAGAAAGUAUACUGGCUCUCCAAGGAAAAGAGGCCCUCAAAGCUCGUCUCUAUGUGCAGUGAUUUUAAUGACCCACCAUUAAAUGAUCUGGUCAAAAUGAUUUGACACCGAAAUGAUUAACUGCCCAGCGGAGUCAAGAUCAGGUUUCAGGCCUGCCACAACCACAACUGUGCUCACGAGGGAAGAGCUCAUCUUAAAACAGAUGAAAGAGGGGUGCCUGGGUGGCUCAGUCAGUUAAGGUCCCACUCAGGAUCUACGACGGAUGCUGAAGUCAGUGACAGGAAGCUUGAGGAGAAGCAAGGCCUUUGCACAGUUUCAAAGGAGCUGACCCCCAAGGUAUUUACUACUUACAAAAAGACUAAUUUACCAAUUACAAGAGCAACUUUAGAAUGGAGAAACCCAGGAGACACCUGAAUCAAGCGGUCAAGAUUAUCAUCACCACCAAUAAGGAAAAGGGACAUCAAGUACCACUCACUGGAAAGGAAGCAUCAUCACUUGUGUGGUCUUCUUCCCAAAAUGCAUAGCCUCACAAGCAAAUACUAGAAAAUAUCAGAAAACCCCCAAAUUUAGGAAAUUUCGUUCAACAAAAUAACUGACCGGGGACUCUUCGGUGGCUCAGUCAGUCAAGCGUCUGACUUAGGCUCAGGUCAUGAUGUCACGGUUUGUGAGUUCGAGCCCUGUGUCAGGCUCUGUGCUGACAGCUUUGAGACUGGAACCUGCUUUGGAUUCU